UACGGAGGGUGCGAGCGUUGUCCGGAAUCACUGGGCGUAAAGGGCGCGUAGGCGGCCUGAUAAGUAGGGGGUGAAAUCCUGCGGCUUAACCGCAGGGCUGCCUUCUAAACUGUCAGGCUCGAGCACAGUAGAGGCAGGUGGAAUUCCCGGUGUAGCGGUGGAAUGCGUAGAGAUCGGGAAGAACAUCAGUGGCGAAGGCGGCCUGCUGGGCUGUUGCUGACGCUGAGACGCGAAAGCGUGGGGAGCAAACAGG
This 253-nucleotide ribosomal RNA is filed under the name uncultured bacterium. Its description in RNAcentral is "partial 16S ribosomal RNA". It matches the Rfam family "Bacterial small subunit ribosomal RNA", at positions 524 to 776 of the family's 1533-position model. The record is from RNAcentral.